UUAAGUGAUGUAAGUAAGUAAAGUAAUUCAAGAUAUCGUGUAAGGCUCUCGAUUGAUUUCCCGCCAAGUAUACGUGUCUGGAGCAGCGCCUGGGAAAUGCUGAGCCUGGGUUUGCUUGCUAUAGUGUUCCUUUAUUGUGCCGGGGGGAUAAUCCGGGACGUAAUUUUCCUUGAGUGUACUGUGCCGGGGGGAUAAUCCGACACGCAAUUUUCCUUGAGUUGUACUGUGCCGGGGGGAUAAUCCGACACGCAAUUUUCCUUGAGUGUACUGUGCCGGGGGGAUAAUCCGACACGCAAUUUUCCUUGAGUGUACUGUGCCGGGGGGAUAAUCCGACACGCAAUUUUCCUUGAGUCUACUGUGCCGGGGGGAUAAUCCGACACGCAAUUUUCCUUGAGUCUACUGUGCAUGGAGGGAGGAUCCUGCACGCAAUUUUCCUUGAGUCUACUGUGCAUGGAGGGAGGGUCCUGCACGCAAUUUUCCUUGAGUCUACAGUGCAUGGAGGGAGGAUCCUGCACGCAAUUUUCCUUGAGUCUACAGUGCAUGGAGGGAGGAUCCUGCACGCAAUUUUCCUUGAGUCUACAGUGCAUGGAGGGAGGGUCCUGCACGCAAUUUUCCUUGAGUCUACUGUGCAUGGAGGGAGGGUCCUGCACGCAAUUUUCCUUGAGUCUACUGUGCAUGGAGGGAGGGUCCUGCACGCAAUUUUCCUUGAGUCUACUGUGCAUGGAGGGAGGAUCCUGCACGCAAUUUUCCUUGAGUCUACUGUGCAUGGAGGGAGGGUCCUGCACGCAAUUUUCCUUGAGUCUACAGUGCAUGGAGGGAGGAUCCUGCACGCAAUUUUCCUUGAGUCUACUGUGCAUGGAGGGAGGAUCCUGCACGCAAUUUUCCUUGAGUCUACUGUGCAUGGAGGGAGGGUCCUGCACGCAAUUUUCCUUGAGUCUACUGUGCAUGGAGGGAGGAUCCUGCACGCAAUUUUCCUUGAGUCUACGGUGCAUGGAGGGAGGAUCCUGCACGCAAUUUUCCUCGAGUCUGUCACUGAAAGAUAAUGGCUGGCUGGCAGUGUGAAGAAUCAUGGGCAUAACGAAGGGAGAACUGCCGGCUGCUGAGAGAGGGAAGAAGCAGCCUUAGUAUCAGGCGACCCCCGGGUUUUCGGGCAGCAGUGGGUUGGCGGGCUCGUCCUGGGCCUCCACCACGCGUGCUUCCUUAUGGGUGAAGGCAAGCUGGUACUCCUCGUGGUGGUGCUGCCCUGGCCCCUCCUGCUGCUGCUGCCCUUACCAGAGGCCCCUCGCGCCCCAGCCCCGCACAGAAUCCGAGACAAAGCAGAUGACUUGUAAGAAGUUUUGUCUCGAUUAAAUUAAAAUAUGUGAAUCUUAUAGCGACCGGAGCAUCGAGUGGUUUGGGGAUGGAAGUGAAGGGCUUCUUGAACA
Molecule: long non-coding RNA, 1424 nt
Organism: Eriocheir sinensis (Chinese mitten crab)
Lineage: Eukaryota; Metazoa; Arthropoda; Malacostraca; Decapoda; Varunidae
Exons: 3
Source: RefSeq, a predicted model, not a curated record